Molecule: ribosomal RNA, 295 nt
Filed under: Streptomyces albus
Lineage: Bacteria; Bacillati; Actinomycetota; Actinomycetes; Kitasatosporales; Streptomycetaceae
Description: partial 16S ribosomal RNA
Rfam family: Bacterial small subunit ribosomal RNA
Source: RNAcentral
CAUUCACGGAGAGUUUGAUCCUGGCUCAGGACGAACGCUGGCGGCGUGCUUAACACAUGCAAGUCGAACGAUGAAGCCGCUUCGGUGGUGGAUUAGUGGCGAACGGGUGAGUAACACGUGGGCAAUCUGCCCUGCACUCUGGGACAAGCCCUGGAAACGGGGUCUAAUACCGGAUAUGACACGGGAUCGCAUGGUCUCCGUGUGGAAAGCUCCGGCGGUGCAGGAUGAGCCCGCGGCCUAUCAGCUUGUUGGUGGGGUGAUGGCCUACCAAGGCGACGACGGGUAGCCGGCCUGA